This 373-nucleotide ribosomal RNA is filed under the name uncultured organism. Its description in RNAcentral is "bacterial SSU rRNA". It matches the Rfam family "Bacterial small subunit ribosomal RNA", at positions 526 to 896 of the family's 1533-position model. The record is from RNAcentral.
CGUAGGGCGCAAGCGUUGUCCGGAAUUAUUGGGCGUAAAGAGCUCGUAGGCGGUCUGUCGCGUCUGGUGUGAAAUCCCAUGGCUCAACUGUGGGCUUGCAUCGGGUACGGGCAGACUAGAGUGCUGUAGGGGAGACUGGAAUUCCUGGUGUAGCGGUGGAAUGCGCAGAUAUCAGGAGGAACACCAAUGGCGAAGGCAGGUCUCUGGGCAGUUACUGACGCUGAGGAGCGAAAGCAUGGGGAGCGAACAGGAUUAGAUACCCUGGUAGUCCAUGCCGUAAACGUUGGGCACUAGGUGUGGGGCCAGUUCCACUGGUUCUGUGCCGCAGCUAACGCAUUAAGUGCCCCGCCUGGGGAGUACGGCCGCAAGGCUA